UGUUCUGUGGCUCAAUUAGUUAAAGCACCCGUCUGCGAAUACGGAGUCAUGGGUUUGAAUCCCAUCAGAAUGC
Non-coding RNA from Aedes albopictus (Asian tiger mosquito), 73 nucleotides. Lineage: Eukaryota; Metazoa; Arthropoda; Insecta; Diptera; Culicidae. The record is from Rfam.